Molecule: ribosomal RNA, 590 nt
Filed under: Meyerozyma guilliermondii
Lineage: Eukaryota; Fungi; Ascomycota; Pichiomycetes; Serinales; Debaryomycetaceae
Description: partial large subunit ribosomal RNA
Rfam family: Eukaryotic large subunit ribosomal RNA
Source: RNAcentral
UACUGAGGAAAAGAAACCAACAGGGAUUGCCUUAGUAGCGGCGAGUGAAGCGGCAAAAGCUCAAAUUUGAAAUCUGGCGCCUUCGGUGUCCGAGUUGUAAUUUGAAGAUUGUAACCUUGGGGUUGGCUCUUGUCUAUGUUUCUUGGAACAGGACGUCACAGAGGGUGAGAAUCCCGUGCGAUGAGAUGCCCAAUUCUAUGUAAGGUGCUUUCGAAGAGUCGAGUUGUUUGGGAAUGCAGCUCUAAGUGGGUGGUAAAUUCCAUCUAAAGCUAAAUAUUGGCGAGAGACCGAUAGCGAACAAGUACAGUGAUGGAAAGAUGAAAAGAACUUUGAAAAGAGAGUGAAAAAGUACGUGAAAUUGUUGAAAGGGAAGGGUUUGAGAUCAGACUCGAUAUUUUGUGAGCCUUGCCUUCGUGGCGGGGUGACCCGCAGCUUAUCGGGCCAGCAUCGGUUUGGGCGGUAGGAUAAUGGCGUAGGAAUGUGACUUUACUUCGGUGAAGUGUUAUAGCCUGCGUUGAUGCUGCCUGCCUAGACCGAGGACUGCGAUUUUAUCAAGGAUGCUGGCAUAAUGAUCCCAAACCGCCCGUCUU